This 843-nucleotide ribosomal RNA is filed under the name uncultured bacterium. RNAcentral's name for it is "bacterial SSU rRNA". It matches the Rfam family "Bacterial small subunit ribosomal RNA", at positions 56 to 914 of the family's 1533-position model. The record is from RNAcentral.
UGCAAGUCGAACGGGAAGCCACCUUCGGGUGGUGGAGAGUGGCGCACGGGUGAGUAACACGUAGCUGACCUGCCCCGGAGAGGGGAAUAACCGGUGGAAACAGCGGCUAAAACCUCAUGAUCCCGCCCUGACUGAGUAGGGGCGAGCAAACACUACGGUGCUCUAGGAUGGGGCUGCGGGCCAUCAGCUGGUUGGUGUGGUAACGGCGCACCAAGGCGAUGACGGCUAGGGGGCCUGAGAGGGUGACCCCCCACACUGGGACUGAGACACGGCCCACACUCCUACGGGAGGCAGCAGUCAGGAAUAUUGCGCAAUGGACGAAAGUCUGACGCAGCGACGCCGCGUGGGUGAUGAAGGCCUUCGGGUUGUAAAGCCCUUUUCUGCGUGACGAGGAAGGACGGUAGCGCAGGAAUAAGUCUCGGCUAACUACGUGCCAGCAGCCGCGGCAAAACGUAGGAGGCGAACGUUAUCCGGAAUUACUGGGCGUAAAGGGCGCGCAGGUGGCAGAUUAAGUCGGUCGUGAAAGCUCCCGGCUAAACUGGGAGAGGUCGGACGAUACUGGUCUGCUCGAGGGCGACAGAGGAGCGUAGAAUUCAGCGUGUAGUGGUGAAAUGCGUAGAGAUGCUGAGGAAUACCAGAGGCGAAGGCGGCGCUCUGGGUCGCACCUGACACUGAGGCGCGAAAGCACGGGGAGCGAACGGGAUUAGAAACCCCGGUAGUCCGUGCCGUAAACGAUGCCUACUAGACGUUCGAUCCUCUGCGGAGGGUUGGGUAUCGUAUCUAACGCGUUAAGUAGGCCGCCUGGGGACUACGGCCGCAAGGCUAAAACUCAAAGGAAUUGAC